GGACUGUAACUGACGCUGAGGCGCGAAAGUGUGGGGAGCAAACAGGAUUAGAUACCCUGGUAGUCCACACUGUAAACGAUGAGUGCUAGGUGUAGGAGGUAUCGACCCCUUCUGUGCCGGAGUCAACACAAUAAGCACUCCGCCUGGGGAGUACGGCCGCAAGGUUGAAACUCAAAGGAAUUGACGGGGGCCCGCACAAGCAGCGGAGCAUGUGGUUUAAUUCGACGCAACGCGAAGAACCUUACCAGGUCUUGACAUCCAAUUAAUCCUGUAGAGAUACAGGGUGUGCUUGCACAAAUUGAGACAGGUGGUGCAUGGUUGUCGUCAGCUCGUGUCGUGAGAUGUUGGGUUAAGUCCCGCAACGAGCGCAACCCUUAUGUCCAGUUACUAACGCGUAAAGGCGAGGACUCUGGAGAGACUGCCGGGGACAACUCGGAGGAAGGUGGGGACGACGUCAAAUCAUCAUGCCCCUUAUGACCUGGGCUACACACGUGCUACAAUGGCCACCACAGAGAGAGGCAAAGCCGCAAGGACGAGCGAAUCUCAAAAAAGUGGUCCCAGUUCGGAUUGUGGGCUGCAACCCGCCCACAUGAAGUCGGA
RNAcentral lists this ribosomal RNA (600 nucleotides) under uncultured bacterium. RNAcentral's name for it is "bacterial SSU rRNA". It matches the Rfam family "Bacterial small subunit ribosomal RNA", at positions 731 to 1330 of the family's 1533-position model. The record is from RNAcentral.